UGGAGGAAGAGGAGCACGAGCCCGCCUCCGCGUGGCCGCAGACUGCGCUACUGCGCAGGCUCAGUAGCAGCGGGAUUCUGAACCUGAGCAGCAGGCUACCUCGUCUCUUCCCAGUCAAGAGUACCCGUACAAGUAACUGUAUAGCACUCAGCCUACUCUACGUAAUGAUGCAGUUUAUGUUGCUUUUUAGUCGCCAGGGAAAGCUCCGACUUCAAAAAUGGUAUGUCCCACUAUCGGACAAAGAAAAGAAAAAAAUCACAAGAGAACUUGUUCAAACAGUUUUAGCCCGUAAACCCAAAAUGUGCAGCUUUUUGGAGUGGCGAGAUCUGAAGAUUGUCUACAAAAGAUAUGCUAGCCUGUAUUUCUGCUGUGCUAUUGAAGAUCAGGACAACGAACUAAUUACCUUGGAAAUAAUUCAUCGUUAUGUUGAACUACUUGACAAAUAUUUUGGCAGUGUAUGUGAACUUGAUAUCAUCUUUAAUUUUGAGAAAGCUUAUUUUAUUUUGGAUGAAUUUCUUUUGGGAGGAGAAGUUCAGGAAACAUCUAAGAAAAAUGUACUUAAAGCCAUUGAACAGGCAGAUCUGCUCCAAGAGCCACGCCAUGAAUACUUUAAUGUCCCUGUGUACUAAAUGACAUCAUUCAUCGAGUAUGCAGAAUUUCACAGAGGAAAUAGAGCUGAUUUACUUAUGACAGAACAGCUGGUGAAACAAAUCAUCUCGAACAUAGAAUAUCAUAACUAUUUUACUGUUAUACUUUGUCCUCCCUGUUUAUAUCCCCAUGUUUACAUUGUGUUUUUCCCCCAUGUCAUUUUGAUGUAGUUUGUUCCUGUCAUUGUCUGGUUUAAUUUUUCCAUGAAAUAUAUGACGUUUAUGUUUAGAGUAAACUUUUUCACCUUAAGCAUAUAUUUGUUAUUAAUCAACCAUCUGUGGUUAAUUUCAUAGUUAAAGGAAAAUGUUCUAAUAUAGCCAAAAUUAGUAGUAUAUGGCCCACUGAAGGUAAACCUAAACUAGCAGUAUUAGUAUGUAGAAUAGUGCUUGUUUUUCAAAUUGAUAAUCUCAAAUGAAUGUGUCAUAUAACUCUAUAGUUAAGUAUAUAUAGAUAUAGCAAAGAAAAAGUAUAGAUUGAAACUCCAAGGAAUAUUGUAUAGUGGUUAACACACAAAAAUGAUUUGUCAUUUAUUAGACUGGUACACAGAAGGGUAAAAUUCUGCAUUUAUUAAAAGAUUUAAUUAAAGAAUUGUCUUUUUGCACUGGAUGCUAGCUAGUAUCAAACAGUAACAAUUCUCUGAAAACUUUUUACUCCUGCUUACAUUUAUAAGGAUAGCACCUUAGAGAAAAAGUCUAAAUAUGUACAUUUUGAUAGUUCUGAUUUUAUGUUUUUGAAAUGCAUUAAAACCUUCAUACUCACUUCAGUGAUCGAUAUUUAGACUUUUAGUUCAAUAUAAUAGUUCAUAAGGAAAAAUUCCAUAUAGUUUCAUAUUUUGAAGAACAAAUCAAUAAGCCAUUAAGGUGAUUAUCACCUCCAAAAUGAUUAUUUAUUCAGACCAAUCAUUGUGACAAUUUGUCAAAGUAGAGUAGGCAAGUCAUUAGGAAUUUAGUUAUUUGUGUUUUUAUAAAUCAUAAUACUUGUACUAUCACAAAGAGUUAAUCUAUAUUGUAUUCUAGAACUUUAGUUACAAUAUUUUUUCCUAACAAUAUUUUUUCCUAAGAAAAGUAUUUUUAAGAUAAUACAGUAUUUAAUGUAAUGUUAACAUGCACGUUAUCAUGCCUGUUAGCCAAAAAUGCUGUGUGCUGAGCUGUAUCAAAAUGUUGCUUCUCCUAUUCUUUGUAUAUAGCUGCUUGCUUUAAAUUAUUACAUUCUGAAAUAGCUUUCUUGGCAUGUCUAAAAUAAAAAUAUUGCAUGCACCCUGUCUCAUGUGAAUGGCUUUCUCCACCUUAUCUCAUCUACUCAGGAGAAUUUGUUUUAGAUUUCAUUGUGUCCAGGUAAUGUUUUAUAUAUACAUAUGUAUGUGUAUAUGUAUAUAUAUGUACAUAAAUUUAUAAAAGCGUAUUCUAUGUCAGUGGGGUCAAACUCCCAGAGAAAUGGAUCCCUGCAGGCUGCAUAAUAACUUAGAAAACCACAUAUUAACAUUAUCUGUAUCAUUAUAUACUUUUAUUUUGUUAAACAUUUCCCAGUUAUAUUUUAACUAUUUUUGAACAACACUCAUGCAAUUGACACCUGUGUUCUACAUUAACUGCUGUAAUCCAAAUUAGCAAAUGCAUGUUAAAAAAUUUUUAAAACCACUAUUGGUUUUCAGCAAAUAAUCUAAGAUGACAAAAUGAAACAUAGGGUCUUACUAACUCCAGGAAAUAGCUCUUUCAUGGUAGCUUUUAAUUGAGUAGCUAGCAUAUAACCAGUGCCAAAAUAGGAUUCUGUUGGGUUUCAUACAAGUGUGAUUACUUGACCUAGUGGGCUGGAAUGAACAGCAUUAAAAAUGUGUGUGUGUGUGUGUGUACAUUUUUUUCCUCUUGUCAUCACGAUGAAGAAUUUUUUAAUGAAUUUGUUCAGUUACUCUGACCCAUUUCAGCAUUUUAUCCUAAACUUUUGUCAUCUUCACAAGUAACAGUGGACAAACUUAACUAGACAAACAUUCUGCUUCUACACAUAUCAAUGCACAUAAACAUAAUGGUGUCAAAAAGCAUAUGUAUUUAUUCCUAAAGGUUGGUUUAUGUGGCCAAAUACCUGUAUUCAGAUUGAACAUAAAACUUUAUAAUUUGUCACUUAAAGGUGUAAUUUCUAAAUAUUUACCAUUUAAUAUCUUUCUUUUCCUUGCUUUGUGCUGCACCACAUUUUAGGAUGCUAAAGAAGCUGAAACCCCACGUAGUGUUCUUGAAGAAAUUGGACUGACAUAAGCCAUCUCCCAUGUUGAUGACAUCAUGUGUUCUCACAUACUGUAGAUGUUCACUGCCUUCAUGUCAAUGUUUAGCUUAUGGUGUAAGAUGCUGUUUGUCAGUAUUACUGUUUUGCUAAGCCGCUUCAUUCAGGCCUACAUAAAAACACUCCACUUUUCAAAAGGGAAUAAAAAGUAUUUUUUUUUUAAAAAGGGACUUACUCAAAUGUUAACUAAAACUUGAUGCAAAAGAAAUAAUCUUUUCAGUGUUCUUAAUAGUUGAAUUAUGUCAGUUUCCCAUUAGUUUUAUUUGUAUGUGAUAAUUAUGAAUAUACACAUAAAAUCACAAUCAGGAAGCACAUUUGUUGCUUUGAAUCAGGAAGCACAUUUGUCGCGUUGAACUGCAUUCAACUGAAAGGAAGCUACACUUGUUAUCAAUUUGAAAAUAAAUGUAAUAAUGUUUCAAUAUGGUUUUAUGCAACCAAAGACUAGUAUUACACUUCAGUAUUUAUGGGAAUGAAAAAAAUUGACUGAUUUCACAUAUCAAAAUGAUUUAAAUUUUACCAUUACCACUGAAACUUAAACAUACAUAUGUAUACCAAAGAUACUUAUUGGGAAUUACAUAUUUUAAACUGGUAGCUUAUUGAAAAGUGUAUGUUUCUGAGACUAAAGGGAUAUUAAAGGGAAUACAGGUUACUUUAAUCAAAACAAUUCUAUUUUACACUGGCCAGUGGGCAGGAAUUUGGAUUGAAGAUGUUCAACAUGAGCACAUAAUGUACACUAUGAAAAUGGUUAAACAUUUUCUAUGUAAGAUUUCUCUGAGCAUAAUCUUACAACUUAUUUUUAUGCCCCCCAAAACAUUCUACUGCCACUAUGUACCUCAUUUCUCCAUAAGCUAUGGGAAACAUCUACUUAAAUAGGAUGUUAUAAAUUAAAAUACUCAAUUGCCUAGUAUUAUUGCUAUUUCAACACAAGCUUGCUUGUGUUCACAAAGUAUCACGUGAUUAAAACUUGCUCCAGGGUUGGUACUAUUCUGAUUAAAUUUUCCAUAUACUUUUCUAUGAAGUACCUACCACUAGUUUGACUUUUUUUUUUCUUUUAUGCCACCUCCCAGUCAGAAAAUAUUCUACAUAAUGUUUCAUGAAAAAUAUUAGAUGGAUGAGAUAAAUGGCAAUGUAGAGAAUUACUUUGUAAAGCUGUUUUAGUUUCAAUAUCAUUUUCAUAUGUAUUUAAACACGUCUUCAAAGUUUACACUUUCACUUAUUUGUAUGUGCUUGGCUGGAUUAAGCUUUGUGACUGUGACCAAUAUUUAGGCUGUGACCAUUGUCUUAUCACAUACAUUAGUUACAAUAAAUGUCCACUCUUACACCA
Antechinus flavipes (yellow-footed antechinus) is the source of this 4240-nucleotide RNA transcript. It is a transcript of the gene named adaptor related protein complex 1 subunit sigma 2, with no coding region annotated. The record is from RefSeq and is a predicted model, not a curated record. The transcript is spliced from 6 exons. NCBI's taxonomy places the organism in Eukaryota, Metazoa, Chordata, Mammalia, Dasyuromorphia, Dasyuridae.